CCUACGGGAGGCAGCAGUGAGGAAUAUUGGUCAAUGGGCGGAAGCCUGAACCAGCCAAGUCGCGUGAGGGAUUAAGGCCCUGCGGGUCGUAAACCUCUUUUGCCGGGGAGCAGUGGUUCGGACGCGUUCGGACCGGGAGAGUACCCGGAGAAAAAGCAUCGGCAAACUCGGUGCCAGCAGCCGCGGUAAUAGGGAGGAUGCGAGCGUUAUCCGGAUGUAUUGGGUUUAAAGGGUGCGUAGGCGGGCAUUUAAGCCGGCGGGCAAAUGUCGGGGCUCAACCCCGGCCUGCCGUCGGAACUGGGUGCCUUGAGUGGGCGAGAGGUAUGCGGAAUGCGUGGUGUAGCGGUGAAAUGCAUAGAUAUCACGCAGAACCCCGAUUGCGAAGGCAGCAUACCGGCGCCCUACUGACGUUGAGGCACGAAAGCGUGGGGAGCAAACAGGAUUAGAUACCCGAGUAGUC
RNAcentral lists this ribosomal RNA (460 nucleotides) under uncultured bacterium. RNAcentral's name for it is "partial 16S ribosomal RNA". It matches the Rfam family "Bacterial small subunit ribosomal RNA", at positions 338 to 795 of the family's 1533-position model. The record is from RNAcentral.